CUCCACCAGACACCUCAGCCGAACUCUGGCCGAUAGACCUGGACCCCCUGGCAGGCCGCAGCAACAGCCAUGACUCUGCUCCACCUCCUGCGACGGAUUCCACGCGGCCCCAUCACUCCCUGGCAGGCCAUAAUAAUGGCCACGAUCCUGCUCCACUUCCUGCAACGGAUACCGCACGACUCUUCCAUUCUCUGGCAAGUCACGACAACGGACGCCGCUCCGCUCCCCGUGGCAGACUCCACGUGGCACGCCCCGGUGA
RNAcentral lists this long non-coding RNA (259 nucleotides) under Elaeis guineensis (African oil palm). RNAcentral's name for it is "long non-coding RNA (EGUI_LNC037900)". The record is from RNAcentral. Lineage: Eukaryota; Viridiplantae; Streptophyta; Magnoliopsida; Arecales; Arecaceae.